Molecule: ribosomal RNA, 478 nt
Filed under: uncultured eukaryote
Lineage: Eukaryota
Description: eukaryotic LSU rRNA
Rfam family: Eukaryotic large subunit ribosomal RNA
Source: RNAcentral
CGAGAACACCCGGCGAAUUUAAGCAUAUUACUAACCGGAGGAAAAGAAACCAACAGGGGACGUCCUCAGUAGCGGCGAGCGAAGCGGACGAUGCCCAAACCGAACCGCGGUUCCCCGAGGGGGGCCGCGGAGUGUGGAGAGGAUGAGCUCGCGAGGGGGCGGGACGGGGUUCCAAUCCGGUCUGGAAGGGCGGAGGCACGGAGGGCGAUUCCCCGUACGUGCUCGGUCCGUCCCCGACGAGCGAACGCAUCGGAGAGUCGGGCCGCUUGAGAGUGCAGCCCGAAUGGGGUGAUAGGUCUCAUCCAAGGCUAAGUACGUGGGAGACGCCGAUAGCGAACAAGUACGGCGACGGAAAGGUGAAAAGAACCUCGAAAGGGGGGUCAAAAGCGCUCGAAAUCGUAGAGGGGGAAGCGGACCUGACCGACGAGACCUCGUCGUCGCUCGCGCUCGACCCACGCUUCGUCGCGGAGUUCCGGAG